UGUUGUACAGCUUUGUAGCCUAGGAGCAAUAGGCUGUACCAUCUAGCCUAGGUGUGUAGCAGGCUGUACUAUGCAGGUUUGUUCACACGACGAUGAAAUCUAAUGAUGAAUUUCCCAGAAUGUAUCCCUGUUGUUAAGGGAUACAUUGUUAAGCGGUGUGUGACUAUAUGUAUAUAUAUAUAUAUAUAUAUAUGCACUAUAUAGAGAGACACACUAUUUUGUGUGUGUCUCUGUGAGUGUGUGUGUGUGUGUGUGUUUAUUCCUUCUCUCCAGUUCAGCCUUAGGAAAAGGGAAAGCUUGUGAACGUGUCCUCGGGAACUUGGUUUGCUGAAUUAACAGGUGAAGGUAACAUCUCAAGAGCUCAGUAGACCCUUCUGCCCAAAUGCAGUUGGCAGUCCUUGGUCAGGCUUCACCUGAGUGGAGGCCAGGGAUUAGAGCUACCAAGCAGAUUGCAGGUGGGAGGUUGUGGUUGACUUUUUGGAAGUCAUUAGUACAAAUGCUUUUAGUGCCUUUAGCCCCUGGGGUUUUACAAGGUCACCGCGUGAUUGGGAUAAGCACGGUAAACUCUACGACCAGAAGGUGUUUCCAUGCCACGUGAUUGGGAUAAGCACGGUAAACUCUAAGACCAGAAGGUGUUUCCAUGCCACGUGAUUGGGAUAAGCACGGUAAACUCUACAACCAGAAGGUGUUUCCAUGCCACGUGAUUGGGAUAAGCACGGUAAACUCUAAGACCAGAAGGUGUUUCCAUGCCACGUGAUUGGGAUAAGCACGGUAAACUCUAAGACCAGAAGGUGUUUCCAUGCCACGUGAUUGGGAUAAGCACGGUAAACUCUAAGACCAGAAGGUGUUUCCAUGCCACGUGAUUGGGAUAAGCACGGUAAACUCUACAACCAGAAGGUGUUUCCAUGUCACUGGGGCUGUGGAGUGUGGCCCUAGCACUGUCACUAAAAAUCCGAGGGCUGUGGGAGCUCUGGGAGCUUGGCUUAGCCAGAGCCACCUCCUCUUUCCCACUUGGAGGCUAGGGGCAAUCCUGCGCCUGACCCUGGGUUGUGCAAUGGAGUGAAGGGGACUUAGGGCGGUCAAGAGCCAGAGGCAUUGCCGAAUUCCUGGGUGGCUUGCAGUCAUCAUGAUACGCUGACCUGGUUGCAAUCAUUUUUAUGGUGAAUUAUUCAAUACAGCAAAGUAAUCUGGCCCUUAUCUCUGCCCAGUCAUUCUAUAAUGAAGAGGCACGGGGUGGAGCCCGGGGACACCCUCGGUGGCAUUGUCGGGCCACAUACCUUUCCCCUCACAUCCUGCGACAGCUGAAUCCGAGCCCGAGGACCACGUGCGGGGCGGUCUCCAGUGUGGAUGGCAGCCCGGCUGGAACGCACUGGCAGGUGGUCCCUGUGCCCCAGAGGCCCCGUUUCCUUCCGGAAGCGAGGCUGCAACUGCUCCAGAUACCCAGCAGGAAGGCCACGUGACAACGGGAGGGGCACUCCUGUGUGUGUAGGGGCGAGGGGGUGGCGGUGCCAGGGUCCUGCAGUUCACCAGGUGCCCACGUGCCUGCCACCCGAGCGCCAUUCACUCCCGACCGCGGGGACCUGGGGCACAGCCGGGCCCACUGCGGCGAGGCGAGGAGAUGUGGGGAGAGGAAGAGCGGCGUCCACGAUGUGCUCAUUUAGGCUUGAUUUUCCUCCUGCCCUCCUGUCUCCCUCCCUGGCUUCACCCACAAGGCUUUCUUCUCGGGCUGAUUUCUGUGGGAGCUCUCUAGGCAGAACCCUCAGUCUCUGAAAGUCGGGUUCGUCGUCCGGGUCUGCGCAGGGCAUGGAUCUUGAGCGCUUGGAAUGUGACUUAACUGAGAAACGCUACUUUAUUUUAAUAAGUUUACAUCUAAAAGCCGAUCAUUGAUUCCAUUAUUUGGAAAACAACUUCUAAGUGUGUUUGGAGCAACUCGGAUAUUGGAAUCUUUUAAACUGUAAAUUUUAUGAAAUCUAAAUAACGACCAAAUAUCUACAAGGAAAAUCUAGCAUCUGAAUCGAGUGUGCUGUCAGUGUAAAACACACACCAGAUUUCAAAGAUUUACUGCAGAAAAAAACACAUGAAAAUACUGGUUACAUGUGGAAAUGAUAGUAUUUUAGAUCUGUUGGAUUAUCUAAAAUUAAAUUUAAAUUAAUGUCACUGGUUUUUUUUUUUUUACCUUUUUCUAGUGUGGCUACCGGAAAGUUUAAAUUUCAUACGUGUCUCAUGUUAUAUUUUAUUACAUUUCUCUCGGCCUGUGUGCUCUAGAUGGUUGAUUUGGCUGGAUUGAGAUGAGGUGAUGGCCAUCCUAAAGGAGGGCCUGAGUUCCCUCUGCCGACCUAUGGCUCUCACUGCUAUGCCUCCCUGAUCAUUCAGCCAGUGGAUGUGGAAUUCAGGGAGAUGAGAGAUGCUCAUUUCCUGCUCCAGGAGUGCUCUCCCCAGUGGGGUGGGAGCAAGUCCAAGGAGUGAGUGCUUCGUGGGAACUCUGGCUUCCCGGCUGUCUUCAUGCCUGUGCGUGGCCAUGACACCUGGCAGGAUGCCAGAGCAGGGAGAGCAGAAGCAUCCUGUGUUCUAGCAGAGUACAGACCAUCAGAAAUGUUUCAAUUCCAAAGCUGGGCCAGGUACUGUCACCCACUGGAGCCAAAGUACCCUUGAACAGUUCACCUCUCUCAGGCUUAGGGUGAUUAUAGUGAAAAUUGGAUGCUUUUCUAAAUAAGGCAAACAAUGAUGGUACCUAUUUUAUAACCUUUACUGGACUGCCUCUUUUUGCCCCAGUCAGAAUGUGAAGUCUGGAUUUAGACAAAAGAUUAUUUGGACGGGUGAUAGUAUGUUUUGCAAAAAGAAUUCAAAAUAAGGUAACAGGCAACCAAGAGGGGCUGCCCACCUACUAGGUUUAAUACUCUCAGGAGUAAAGAGACAUAGGACCUGUUCCCUGUAUCAUGUCCCCUUGGUUGGGAACACCUCCCUCUUUUCCAUCCAUCUGUUCAAAUCUGAGCUAUUUGUUCAAGGUGCAGCUCCGAUCCCACCUCCUCCAGGGUCUUUAUUUAAUUCCUCUAGGCUUCCCAGCACCAUUAAGCAGCUUCGCGACCUGCAGCCACACAUGCCAUAGGCCUCCAUCCUCAGGAAAGUGAUUGAGUCUAUCAGCUUAUUUUCCUUUGGAGCCAGGUUCUAAGAAGUGGAUGCGAGUGACAUUAUUAUUCUGAUUAGUUACCUAUCCCCAUAACAGGGAGCUACAGAGUGCUUUGCAAAUAGUAAUGCUUUAACCUCGCCUCCAAAAAAAAAAAAAGAACAGCCUGAUGUGAAAAACAUUUAUAAUUUCUUGUAGUUACAGUGUGUAUCUUCAUUAUAAUCAUUCUUACAAUAAAUACAGAAGUGCUAAACAGACCAUUAUCACAGUGGCCUGUGGGCUGAGGCACAGGAACUGAGGGGUGCUGCAGACACCAGUGCUUCUCCAGGGCUGGCCAGGACACCUUCAGAGAGGCUAGUGAAGAGGAGAGGAAUGUAGGGUGAAUUUGAAAUGUGAUUAAUAGAGUCAAUGCAGCACAUGCUAGAAACAGAUACAGAGUUUUUUGUUGUUUUUUAACUAUUUUACCAGAUGAUACUAACUAAACAAACAGAACAAAGAAAGAGAUUCAAGAUCUCACAUGAGUGAGAAUCCAGGGCCUUCCCCUCUGGCCCUGGCCCCAGCCUGGGCCUUGUUUUUGCUAUUUCCACCUAGGCAUCUGCCAUGCAGCAGAGUUAGGAGCGUGUGGGCGGCUGCUGAGACUCACACACCACAGUACUGGCAUCCUUCAGGGGCAGCUGGCAUCAGUGGAAUGAGUGCGGAUCCGAAGAAAGGUUUCCCAGUUCCAAAGCUGGACCCACAGGAAUCCUGUGAGGAUUUGCAAAGACAUUGAUAGUGUUGGUUCUUGGAGCAUCUUUCUGCCUCCCGGGCUUUGUCUGGUCUCAGCCUCGGGGCUGCAAUCCAGGGCUGUGCUGAGCAGCAAGAGGAGAGGAGAAAUGCCACUGUCUUGCACCUCCCAGUAAGUCUCCCUUUUCAUGAACAGCCCUUGUGCCAGGUACAAUGGUCUCUCUGUUCUCUCACAAAACUCAUCCACAAAAGAUAUACAGAGUCUUUUGACAGACAGUCCCACUGCUCUGGAGUCCUUUAUGUUCAUUUCUGAUUGACAAUUUUGGACCAAGGCCAAGAGGCCCCCUAAUUCAUGUUGCUUCGUCAUGAGGGUUGUCCUUGUCAUCUGAUGAUGCAUGAGGCAUGCUAAUGGCAAGGCCGGGAUGCCACCCCAGGCUUCGAGGCUGUUAGAGGUCUUGAGUGCACACACACACACAAA
This 4325-nucleotide long non-coding RNA is filed under the name Homo sapiens (human). RNAcentral describes it as "HSALNT0381722". The record is from RNAcentral. Lineage: Eukaryota; Metazoa; Chordata; Mammalia; Primates; Hominidae.